AGAGUUUGAUCCUGGCUCAGAUUGAACGCUGGCGGCAUGCCUAACACAUGCAAGUCGAACGGAAACGAUGCUAGCUUGCUAGCAGGCGUCGAGUGGCGGACGGGGGAGUAAUACUUAGGAAUCUGCCCAUUAGUGGGGGACAACUAGAGGAAACUCGAGCUCCUACGGGGGAAAGCGGAGGACCUUUCGGGGCUUCGCGCUAAUGGAUGAGCCUAAGUCGGAUUAGCUUGUUGGUGAGGUAAAAGCUCACCAAGGCGACGAUCCGUAGCUGGUCUGAGAGGACGAUCAGCCACACUGGGACUGAGACACGGCCCAGACUCCUACGGGAGGCAGCAGUGGGGAAUAUUGCACAAUGGGCGAAAGCCUGAUGCAGCAAUGCCGCGUGUGUGAAGAAGGCCUGAGGGUUGUAAAGCACUUUCAGUAGGGAGGAUAAUGACUGUACCUACAAAAGAAGCACCGGCUAACUCCGUGCCAGCAGCCGCGGUAAUACGGAGGGAGCGAGCGUUAAUCGGAAUUACUGGGCGUAAAGCGCGCGUAGGCGGCUUUGUAAGUCGGAUGUGAAAUCCCUGGGCUCAACCUGGGAAUUGCAUUCGAAACUGCCUCACUAGAGUUUAGCAGAGGGAUGGGGAAUUCCGGGUGUAGCGGUGAAAUGCGUAGAGAUCCGGAGGAACAUCAGUGGCGAAGGCGACUUACUGGACCAAUACUGACACUGAGGUGCGAAAGCGUGGUGAGCAAACAGGAUUAGAUACCCUGGUAGUCCACGCCGUAAACGAUGGCAACUAGCCGUUGGGAGCAAUUAAGCUUUUAGUGGCGCAGCUAACGCAUUAAGUUGACCGCCUGGGGAGUACGGCCGCAAGGCUAAAACUCAAAGGAAUUGACGGGGGCCCGCACAAGCGUGGAAGCAUGUGGUUUAAUUCGAUGCAACGCGAAGAACCUUACCAGCCCUUGACAUCCUGUGAACUUUCUAGAAAUAGAUUGGUGCCUUCGGGAACACAGUGACAGGUGCUGCAUGGCUGUCGUCAGCUCGUGUCGUGAGAUGUUGGGUUAAGUCCCGCAACGAGCGCAACCCUUGUCCUUAGUUGCCAGCACGUAAUGGUGGGAACUCUAAGGAGACUGCCGGUGAUAAACCGGAGGAAGGAGAGGAUGACGUCAAGUCAUCAUGGCCCUUACGGCCUGGGCUACACACGUGCUACAAUGGUCGGUACAGAGGGUUGCCAAGCCGCGAGGUGGAGCUAAUCCCAGAAAACCGACCGUAGUCCGGAUUGGAGUCUGCAACUCGACUCCAUGAAGUCGGAAUCGCUAGUAAUCCCGAAUCAGAAUGUUCGCGGUGAAUACGUUCCCGGGCCUUGUACACACCGCCCGUCACACCAUGGGAGUGGGUUGCAAAAGAAGUGGGUAGACUAACCUUCGGGAGGUCGCUCACCACUUUGUGAUUCAUGACUGGGGUGAAGUCGAAACAAGGUAGCC
This 1467-nucleotide ribosomal RNA is filed under the name uncultured prokaryote. Its description in RNAcentral is "partial 16S ribosomal RNA". It matches the Rfam family "Bacterial small subunit ribosomal RNA". The record is from RNAcentral.